Molecule: long non-coding RNA, 227 nt
Organism: Rhipicephalus microplus (southern cattle tick)
Lineage: Eukaryota; Metazoa; Arthropoda; Arachnida; Ixodida; Ixodidae
Source: RefSeq, a predicted model, not a curated record
CACACACCGUGCUGAAGGCUGUGUGCGCUGGCGUCUGUGGUGCCUGUCACCCAUCUAUUUCGUCAGAGCAGCUUCAAAAGGACUGUACGAGAUGUGAAGGAGCUCCACAAGGAGUGAAAAAGAUGUGGCAACGAGGCUGGGCUUGUACACUUCACGAUGAAUUCACAUAAGAGAAUGAAGAAACUUCAUGUGCAUGUAAAAAAAAAAUAAAAGAUUUCGAUGUUUCA